RNAcentral lists this non-coding RNA (181 nucleotides) under Hoeflea sp. The record is from RNAcentral. Lineage: Bacteria; Pseudomonadati; Pseudomonadota; Alphaproteobacteria; Hyphomicrobiales; Rhizobiaceae.
GCCCCUAUGCGCCUGUCUGGUGCCCGCAACACGCGGGAGAAUCGGGAAUCCGGUGAAAAUCCGGAACGUGCCCAACGCUGUGAAGGGGAUGGUCCGCGCGACACGCCACUGGGAAAGCCCGGGAAGGCGCGCGGGGCAGAUGAUCCGAAGUCAGAAGACCGGCCGGACGUCAUAGCCUUAC